This 403-nucleotide ribosomal RNA is filed under the name Saccharibacillus sp. O23. RNAcentral describes it as "bacterial LSU rRNA". It matches the Rfam family "Bacterial large subunit ribosomal RNA", at positions 1 to 393 of the family's 2925-position model. Lineage: Bacteria; Bacillati; Bacillota; Bacilli; Caryophanales; Paenibacillaceae. The record is from RNAcentral.
AUGGUUAAGCAAGUAAGAGCGCACGGUGGAUGCCUAGGCACCAGGAGCCGAUGAAGGACGCGACGAACCGCGAUAGUGCUUCGGGGAGCUGUAAGUAAGCGUUGAUCCGGAGAUUUCCGAAUGGGGCAACCCAGCUGGACUCAUACCCAGUUACCGAUCGAGUGAAUACAUAGCUCGACGGAGGCAGACCGGGGGAACUGAAACAUCUAAGUACCCCGAGGAAGAGAAAACAAUAGUGAUUCCGUCAGUAGCGGCGAGCGAACGCGGAUUAGCCCAAACCAAGAAGCUUGCUUCUUGGGGUUGUAGGACGUCUCACAUGGAGUUACAAAGGUGUUUGGUAGGCGAAGAGGUUUGGAACGACCCGCCAGAGCAGGUGAUAGCCCUGUAGCCGAAAGUUUGCUCC